Molecule: small nuclear RNA, 24 nt
Filed under: Arabidopsis thaliana (thale cress)
Lineage: Eukaryota; Viridiplantae; Streptophyta; Magnoliopsida; Brassicales; Brassicaceae
Description: snRNA_12351
Source: RNAcentral
GGAAGUGUUUAACACUAAGUAGAU